AACGAGCGGCCAUAGACAUGCAACUUUGUGCCUGAUGACAGUGCUUCAGCUCUUAGGCUCCACAAGCAACAACUAGUCCCAGGUCUCCUGCCACAAAGAUACUGUUCAGCUCCUGCCCUCUCUGGAAAAUACUGUAUUUUACAAAUUUAGCAUUGCUUCUUGCAGAUUUUACUGAAAUUGGAGCUUUUGCCAGUCCAAGUGAAUGUGAAAGUGCAAACAUACAGGAUGUGAAUGAGAGCCUUGCAAAAUAUUCAAACUGCUUUCAUGAAAUGAUUGCCAAGGGUGAAAAAACUUAAAUCAAUUUGCUUGCCUGGACACUGCAAGAAACACUUGAUCUCCUGCACCCUGUUCAAG
Long non-coding RNA from Athene cunicularia (burrowing owl), 354 nucleotides. RefSeq lists it as uncharacterized. The transcript has 3 exons. NCBI's taxonomy places the organism in Eukaryota, Metazoa, Chordata, Aves, Strigiformes, Strigidae. The record is from RefSeq and is a predicted model, not a curated record.